CUAAGCGACAGUGACGACGAGGAUGACGUCGACGAUGGUGAUGAAACUGACCCCCUCAUGAUAAAGUCCAAGAAGCCCCGCAAGGCCCGCACGGCCUUCACUGACCACCAGCUGAGCUGUCUGGAGAAAAGUUUCGAGAGACAGAAAUACCUCAGUGUCCAGGACAGGAUGGAACUGGCGGCCAAACUCAACCUCACGGACACCCAGGUGAAGACGUGGUACCAGAACAGAAGAACCAAGUGGAAG
This is a long non-coding RNA of Haliotis rubra (blacklip abalone), 246 nucleotides long. RefSeq lists it as uncharacterized. The transcript is spliced from 3 exons. The record is from RefSeq and is a predicted model, not a curated record. NCBI's taxonomy places the organism in Eukaryota, Metazoa, Mollusca, Gastropoda, Lepetellida, Haliotidae.